Molecule: ribosomal RNA, 468 nt
Filed under: uncultured bacterium
Lineage: Bacteria
Description: partial 16S ribosomal RNA
Rfam family: Bacterial small subunit ribosomal RNA
Source: RNAcentral
GACGAACGCUGGCGGCGUGCUUAACACAUGCAAGUCGAACGGAAAGGCCCUGCGUUUGUGGGGUGCUCGAGAGGCGAAAGGGUGAGUAACACGUGAGUAACCUGCCCUUGGCUUUGGUCUAACUUCUGGAAGCUGGGGCUAAUACCGGAUCGGUUCUCCUGCUGCAGGGGGUGGGUAGGAUAGUUUCGGCGGCUGGGGAUGGACUCGCGGCUUAUCAGCUUGUUGGUGGGGUAGUGGCUUACCAAGGCGGUGACGGGUAGCCGGCCUGAGAGGGUGACCGGCCACACUGGGACUGAGAUACGGCCCAGACUCCUACGGGAGGCAGCAGUGGGGAAUAUUGCACAAUGGGCGGAAGCCUGACGCAGCGACGCCGCGUGCGGGAUGACGGCCUUCGGGUUGUAAACCGCUUUCGGCUGGGACGAAGCGUGAGUGACGGUAAUGGGAGAAGAAGCACCGGCUAACUACGUG